Non-coding RNA from Equus caballus (horse), 2587 nucleotides. The record is from RefSeq and is a predicted model, not a curated record. Lineage: Eukaryota; Metazoa; Chordata; Mammalia; Perissodactyla; Equidae.
CGCGGGCUGGAUCUGGAUGCGGGGGCUGGGAUGCGGGGGCUGGCACGCGGGCUGGAGGAGGGUGGACGAGGGCAGGUCCGAGUCUCUAAGACCGCUCGCCAGUCUGCAGGAAAGGCGAGUAUACAGGCGAAAGAGGCAGCGUGAUCUUCCACUUUCAACAGUCCCUAUCUUCUUCUGGACUUCUGGACCUUCUACCAUCUGGACCUCGCCUCUGGGAAGUAGCUGACAGAGGGGAAGAAAUUGAGGCUAUGAAAUCAUCCAGGGAGGAAGUGGCAGAACCAGCUUGAUUCUAGAACCUAUGCUCCUAAUUACCUUGAUACUGUAUACUCUACCAUAAAUCAUUCAGGUAAGGAAACAGAGACCUGGAAAGAUAAAGUGACUUCCGCCAAGAUUAAACAGCCUCUAAAAGGCAGUGCGAGGACUCAAAACGUCUCCUGCCUGUAAAUCAGAAUUUCCUGUCAUUAUCACAUCCUUCCUUUCCAAACUGCCCUUAAUAAAACUCUUGGUUUUCUAGGUCUCUGAUAAGUAUUUUUUUCUGUACUCAUCAAGUGCUUUAUCACUGAAGAGCCUACAUAAUUUAUAUUUUAUGAGGAUUUGCAGCAUUUCCGCCUUCCUCUUACCUGAAAAGUAUUUCACAAAAAAGGGAUUUAGUGAUUUUGGUUUUUUUACUGCAUUGUGGCAUGGGGGCUUAUAAUCAUCUUAGGCAAUGUCAGAAAGAAGGCCUAAUCAAGGUCUGCGGGAGAAGAUCUGUAAGGAGGAGAGCAGUCUUUCAAAUUUUUCAUUUGAUGAAAGUGCUAAUAUAAAAGGAAAAAAAGACUGCAAAAUGAGGUUCAAGAAAGAAAAAGGCUCAGAAAAGAUAAUGGUAAGUCCAGAGAAAUUUUCAAAAAAAAUAGUAGAAAAAUCCUCAAAGGGGAGGGACAACAAAUAAGGUUAAUACAUACGCUAGGAGAUGCGCGUAAUCGGUUUCUCCUACUGAGCAGGUAACGGGCAGUAGUGUUCUUAUCUUCAGGAGGAGUCAUAAAAACAAAGGUUUGUUUCAUUUUACAGAUUUUAUUCUAAUUUUUCUUUUCAAAGGUUUUUCUCUUUAUUAAGUCUUUGUAAGAAUUAAUAUUUAUAAGACAUAUUUAUUAAGUCUUUCUCUUUACUCAGUCUCUUUAUAAAGUCUUUUCUCUUUAUUGAAAAGACUGAUUUUCACCCUGAUAUGCAUGGGUGAAGUAGAACCUUUUUUCACCAAUACACUGAACUGUAUAAUUAUUUCCAAUAAGCUUGGACUUUGGAACUAUUUCUCAAAACUGAAACUCCAAUAUUUCUACACGCUCUUUCCGAGUAGCACAGGCUGUCUACACAAACGAUAAUUGGUUACUCCACGUUAACUCUCUCAGCUGCUUUAUUCUGGAUCUGCCUUCUUUCUCCUCCUCACUGUUUCAAACUCUUGCCCACAGUGAAAACUCAUCUCUAAAUGUGGACAGUUUUCUGAGGGACCUUGUGUUCUGCAAUUUUAAUGUCUCAGAUACUGUACGAAAAAAGGACCUGAAGAGGCGUUUUACCCCCACCCUGCAACUAUCUGAAUGAUGACAAUACAGCGAUGGUGACCACGAUGCUGAGAGCAAUAACCUUUCCUCCACAUUGCUGUGUGUCAGGGCCCAGGCUAAGCCUGUUUAAUAUAUUCUCUCAUAUAAUGCUUGAAACCUUAUGAGUUAGAUAUAUUAUUACUAUGUUCAUUUAACAGGUAAGAUGAGCUUCAGAGAGUUAGAUAAAAUGUGUAGGCCUAGCUACUAAGUGGCAGAACCAGGAUUAAAACUCAGUUCAACUAUUGAUUCAACAUGUACAGAGCACCUACUAUGUGCCAAGCAUGGUACUAGGUAAUUAUUCACUGUCAAGGGCAGCGGGUGCUCCUGGAAACCAGCACUAGUUUACUUAGUUAACAUCUUUGGGAUAUGUCAGCUCUCUCUGUACUGCAAGUGUAAUACUAGAAGCAUCCCUCAGACAAGAAACAGAAAGCCCUUUUGGUGCCCAGAAGAGGAAAGUAAACCAGCUUUGAGAAAAAUCAUGAUGUGGAUUCUGCCUCAAGCAGAGCUCAGGAAGUCAAAGUUAAAAUGGCCUGAUGCUACACACUUUUGGAAAGAAACUUGUUCAUAUGGUUCAAUAGCCAUAAAAAUUUAAAUUUGAUAAUGUAAUUUCUGGAAGUCUAUUUUAGUUUUGGGAAUUUAUUUUAAAGAAGUUAUGUAAAACAUGGAAAAAUUAUAUGAAUAAAAGAUGUUUAUGGCAGUGCUAUUUAUAGUACCUUAAAGGUGGAAGCAACCUGUAAGUCCAGAAAGAAGAAAAUGAUAACAAAGCCUGUCAAUGAAAUGAUUUAAAGUUAUUAAAAGCAUAAAGACUAUGUAGCUACCUUUAAAAAUGUACACUUAUAUAAGACACAGUAAAGAAAGUAAAAUUCAAAUUCAUCCUCUAUGAUUACCAAUACGUAAAACUGUUUCUAAAAAGACUGGAAGUGAAUACUUCAAAAUUAUAAUAUUGCUAUUUGGGGUGGAACCACAGGUAGGGUCUGUCCUCUCACUUUUGGUAACACUGUCUCUUUCAGAAUUUC